Molecule: non-coding RNA, 1502 nt
Organism: Candidatus Peribacteria bacterium
Lineage: Bacteria; Candidatus Peregrinibacteriota; Candidatus Peribacteria
Source: Rfam
UUUUUGAAGAGUUUGAUCCUGGCUCAGAGUGAACGCUGGCGGUGUGCCUAAAACAUGCAAGUCGAGCGAUCAGCGGUAGCAAUAUUGCUGGGAGCGGCGAACGGCUGCGUAACACGUGGGAACCUACCCCGGACUCAGGGAUAACCCCGCGAAAGCGGGGCUAAUACCGGAUGGCUCCAGCAUCCUUGGCAACAAGGGGCGCUGGAUAAAGAUUUUUCGGUCCGGGAGGGGCCUGCGGCCCAUCAGCUUGUUGGUAGGGUAACGGCCUACCAAGGCUAUGACGGGUAGCUGGUCUGAGAGGACGACCAGCCAGAAUGGAACUGCGACACGGUCCAUACUCCUACGGGAGGCAGCAGUUAGGAAUCUUCCGCAAUGGGCGAAAGCCUGACGGAGCGACACCGCGUGGAGGACGAAGCCCUUACUGGGCGUAAACUCCUGUUCUGAGGGACGAAAUUUUUGACGGUACCUCAGGAGAAAGCACCGGCUAAUCCUGUGCCAGCAGCCGCGGUAAGACAGGAGGUGCAAGCGUUACUCGGAAUGACUGGGCGUAAAGCGUCUGUAGGCGCCCCAUUAGGUCUGGCAUGAAAUCGCAGAGCUUAACUCUGCGUCCGUGUUUGAAACCGGCGGGGUUGAGGUACUCAGAGGCAUCUGGAAUGUCGUGUGUAGGGGUAAAAUCCGUUGAUACACGAUAGAACGCCAAAAGCGAAGGCAGGAUGCUAGGAGUGUCCUGACGCUCAGAGACGAAAGCGUGGGGAGCAAACCGGAUUAGAUACCCGGGUAGUCCACGCCCUAAACGAUGCGUGCUCGGUGUUGGGGAUUCAAUCUUCCUCAGUGCCCUAAGCUUACGCGGUAAGCACGCCGCCUGGGAAGUACGGCCGCAAGGCUAAAACCCAAAGGAAUAGACGGGGACCCACACAAGCGGUGGAGCAUGGGGUUUAAUUCGAUGACAAGCGAAGAACCUUACCCAGGCUUGACAUGCCAGGAACCCCGCAGAAAUGCGGGGGUGCCGCAAGGAACCUGGACACAGGCGCUGCACGGUCGUCGUCAGCUCGUGCCUUGAGGUGUACUGUUAAGUCAGUCAACGAGCGCAACCCUCAUCCUGUGUUGUUUUUUCACAGGAGACUGCCGCCUCCAAGGCGGAGGAAGGUGAGGAUGACGUCAGAUCAGCGUGGCCCUUAUGCCUGGGGCGACACCCGUGCUACAAUGGCCGGCACAAAGGGCAGCUAACCCGCGAGGGCAAGCCAAUCCCAAAAAACCGGUCUCAGUUCGGAUUGUAGUCUGCAACUCGACUGCAUGAAGUUGGAAUCGCUAGUAACCGUGAAUCAGCCACGUCACGGUGAAUAUGUUCCUGGGUCUUGUACUCACCGCCCGUCAACUCAUGGAAGGCAGGAAUGCCCGAAGCGCCUUUACCCGCAAGGGGAGGCAUCACGGCAGAUCUGCUGACUGGGAGUAAGUCGUAACAAGGUAUCCGUAGGAGAACCUGCGGAUGGAACGUUUCUGUA